RNAcentral lists this long non-coding RNA (340 nucleotides) under Sorghum bicolor (sorghum). RNAcentral's name for it is "long non-coding RNA (SBIC_LNC004669)". Lineage: Eukaryota; Viridiplantae; Streptophyta; Magnoliopsida; Poales; Poaceae. The record is from RNAcentral.
AGCCCAUGUCAUAUAUCAACAUUCAAAUACACAGUACUGUAGCUUCAAAUACAAAGCCCAUGUUCUGUUCACUGUAGGUUCAAGCAGUGAGCAUGAUGACUAUUUACAAAUGGUCACAUCUAAGGAAUGACCGAACCAAAGUAACAGGAAAUACAUUUUAUAUUCUAUAACACUACUUCCUAUAUAGAACAUCUGCAACAAUCUCCCAUCUCAUCCACACAUCUGCAACAAUCUUCCAUCUAAUCCAGCACAUGAAAAAAUAACAAUCACAGAUAGAGAGAUUAUUAAAAAAAUAAAGAAAUGAUUGGUUUAAUACGUUCAGCCCAAGAGAAAUGAGGCA